CCUACGGGUGGCAGCAGUGGGGAAUAUUGCACAAUGGGGGAAACCCUGAUGCAGCGACGCCGCGUGAGUGAAGAAGUAAUUCGUUAUGUAAAGCUCUAUCAGCAGGGAAGAAAAUGACGGUACCUGAGUAAGAAGCCCCGGCUAACUACGUGCCAGCAGCCGCGGUAAUACGUAGGGGGCAAGCGUUAUCCGGAUUUACUGGGUGUAAAGGGAGCGUAGACGGCAGUGCAAGUCUGGAGGGAAAGGCGGGGGCUCAACCCCCGGGACUGCCCUUGGAACUGCAUGGCUGGAGUGCGGGAGGGGCAGGAGGAAUGCGUGGUGUAGCGGUGAAAUGCGUAGAUAUCAGGAGGAACACCGGCGGCGAAGGCGGCCUGCUGGACCGCGACUGACGUUGAGGCUCGAAAGCGUGGGGAGCGAACAGGAUUAGAUACCCGUGUAGUC
Molecule: ribosomal RNA, 441 nt
Filed under: uncultured bacterium
Lineage: Bacteria
Description: partial 16S ribosomal RNA
Rfam family: Bacterial small subunit ribosomal RNA
Source: RNAcentral